RNAcentral lists this long non-coding RNA (1171 nucleotides) under Zonotrichia albicollis (white-throated sparrow). RNAcentral describes it as "lncRNA (ENSZALG00000016984.1)". Lineage: Eukaryota; Metazoa; Chordata; Aves; Passeriformes; Passerellidae. The record is from RNAcentral.
UGCAGCCCGGCCGCCCUCGGCGGCAGCUGUCAAGGGAAAAUCCCACGGUGGGCGCUCUUGCAAGAGCGGCAAUGAGAAUGCGAGUCUUUGGAAGGUCCAGUUUUGUCGGAGCAAAAUGAAGGCACCAGCACAUAUUUACAAAGUGUAGAUAUCCUGGCUCUGUUUGUUGCUCAUCUGUUUCCACAGCGUUGGGAUUCCCUGGGAAGCCCCUCUGUCCCUUGGCUUCUGAGCCCCAGUGUCCUCCCAGAGGAAGGAGCAUUUUGCUUUCAGAGGAGAAGAGCCAUCACAGCAGGCUCCACAUUCCCUGAUGCUUCUCGGGGUGAAGGAAUUUGCUUGAGAGCCACAUCUGUCCCUUGCCAUGAGCUAGCCAAGAUGCUGUCUCCUGAGGGCCAGCACCAUAUCAAGGGAGAAGCCCCCUCCUAAUUCAAAAAAGGAGAGAUGCCAGCCCAUCCUUCUUCAGGAGCCCACAGACUUCCUUGGCCCCUGGAGUGGUGAAAGGUGGGGACAUUCAGAAUGCACCAUAAGAUGCUUCUGGUUUUUAGUGGCCCUGAAAGGGUUCAGAUGUACAAGACUCUGGGGAUCUCUGGGGACGGUGGGAUAUUUUUGUCUGUCACUUGACUGAUGUUUGCUGUCAUGUAGAGAGAGUUUGUUAUUCUUUGCUGUAUGGCUUAUAUUCUUUCAGGAACAGCAAGAAUUCUGAGUCUGGGAUAGGUGCUUUUCCUGCAUUCACAUAGGAAUAACAGUAAUAAUAACAAUAAUAAUAGUACAUUAGUAACUUUAGAGAAAUACUCUGUGUUUCACCAGAAUGCCCCAUCUUCUUCAGCGUAGCUGCUCCAUUUUGAAAAGACAGUCUUGUGUCAGCCUUUAUGAAACAGGAAAAACUAGAUUAUGCAACUGGUGUCAUAGACCAGCCGUUUGCCAAUUGUGAACUUGUGUAACCCUUGAAAACAGUAGUUUUUGGCUCAAAAUCAGCACAUAGCUUAGGCAUAUGCUUAACUUUAAGCAUUAGAAUAGUCAUAUUGAAAUCAGGGGGAGUGUUCACAUGUUUACAGUUAAAUUUCAGUCCAAAUGCUUUGCUGAAUUUUGUCCUAUUGGGGACUCAGAAUGCUAAUACAGUUGUCAGAGCCUGACCCUGCAGAGUAUUAAAUAAAGCUGAGAUCUCUAAUUCCCA